This 403-nucleotide ribosomal RNA is filed under the name uncultured bacterium. RNAcentral's name for it is "bacterial SSU rRNA". It matches the Rfam family "Bacterial small subunit ribosomal RNA", at positions 355 to 774 of the family's 1533-position model. The record is from RNAcentral.
UGAGGAAUCUUGCACAAUGGGCGAAAGCCUGAUGCAGCGACGCCGCGUGAGGGACGAAGGCCUUCGGGUUGUAAACCUCUGUCAGUGGGGAAGAAGUAUGACGGUACCCACUGAGGAAGCUUCGGCUAACUACGUGCCAGCAGCCGCGGUAAGACGUAGGGAGCAAGCGUUGCCCGGAAUUACUGGGCGUAAAGAGCUCGUAGGCGGGGGCGUGCGUCCGAAAGGAAAUUUCAAGGCUUAACCUUGGGGCUUUUUCGGAUACGGCGCUUCUUGAGGGUGAGAGAGGAAAGUGGAAUUCCAGGUGUAGCGGUGAAAUGCGUAGAUAUCUGGAGGAACACCAGCGGCGAAGGCGACUUUCUGGCUCAUUCCUGACGCUGAGGAGCGAAAGCGUGGGUAGCGAACG